Molecule: ribosomal RNA, 253 nt
Filed under: uncultured bacterium
Lineage: Bacteria
Description: partial 16S ribosomal RNA
Rfam family: Bacterial small subunit ribosomal RNA
Source: RNAcentral
UACGUAGGGUGCAAGCGUUGUCCGGAAUUAUUGGGCGUAAAGAGCUUGUAGGCGGUUUGUCGCGUCUGCUGUGAAAUUUCGGGGCUCAACCCCGAACUUGCAGUGGGUACGGGCAGACUAGAGUGUGGUAGGGGAGACUGGAAUUCCUGGUGUAGCGGUGAAAUGCGCAGAUAUCAGGAGGAACACCGAUGGCGAAGGCAGGUCUCUGGGCCAUAACUGACGCUGAGAAGCGAAAGCUAGGGGAGCAAACAGG